GAGUUUGAUCCUGGCUCAGAUUGAACGCGGGCGGCAUGCCUUACACAUGCAAGUCGAACGGCAGCACGGGAGCUUGCUCCUGGUGGCGAGUGGCGAGCGGGUGAGUAAUGCAUCGGAACGUAUCCUGGAGUGGGGGAUAACGUAGCGAAAGUUACGCUAAUACCGCAUAUUCUGUGAGCAGGAAAGCGGGGGACCUUCGGGCCUCGCGCUCUUGGAGCGGCCGAUGUCGGAUUAGCUAGUUGGUGAGGUAAAGGCUCACCAAGGCGACGAUCCGUAGCAGGUCUGAGAGGAUGAUCUGCCACACUGGAACUGAGACACGGUCCAGACUCCUACGGGAGGCAGCAGUGGGGAAUUUUGGACAAUGGGGGCAACCCUGAUCCAGCCAUGCCGCGUGAGUGAAGAAGGCCUCGG
RNAcentral lists this ribosomal RNA (411 nucleotides) under bacterium enrichment culture clone ALO1_GLFRUDD03F5A1I. RNAcentral describes it as "bacterial SSU rRNA". It matches the Rfam family "Bacterial small subunit ribosomal RNA", at positions 9 to 420 of the family's 1533-position model. The record is from RNAcentral.